This 468-nucleotide ribosomal RNA is filed under the name uncultured bacterium. RNAcentral's name for it is "bacterial SSU rRNA". It matches the Rfam family "Bacterial small subunit ribosomal RNA", at positions 330 to 794 of the family's 1533-position model. The record is from RNAcentral.
UCCAGACUCCUACGGGAGGCAGCAGUGAGGAAUAUUGGUCAAUGGGCGCGAGCCUGAACCAGCCAAGUCGCGUGAGGGAUGACGGCCCUACGGGUUGUAAACCUCUUUUGUCGGGGAGCAAAUUCCGUUACGUGUAACGGAGUCGAGAGUACCCGAAGAAAAAGCAUCGGCUAACUCCGUGCCAGCAGCCGCGGUAAUACGUAGGGGGCAAGCGUUAUCCGGAAUCACUGGGUGUAAAGGGAGCGUAGACGGCAGUGCAAGUCUGAAGUGAAAGCCCCGGGCUUAACCCGGGAAUUGCUUUGGAAACUGUACGGCUGGAGUGCUGGAGAGGUAAGCGGAAUUCCUAGUGUAGCGGUGAAAUGCGUAGAUAUUAGGAGGAACACCAGUGGCGAAGGCGGCUUACUGGACAGUAACUGACGUUGAGGCUCGAAAGCGUGGGGAGCAAACAGGAUUAGAUACCCCUGUAGG